Molecule: long non-coding RNA, 228 nt
Filed under: Bos taurus (domestic cattle)
Lineage: Eukaryota; Metazoa; Chordata; Mammalia; Artiodactyla; Bovidae
Description: long non-coding RNA NONBTAT001359
Source: RNAcentral
UACUAGCUUUCACAGAGACACCAUAGGCUGGACUUCAGGCAUUGGUCUACACGUUUCACUUGUAUAUUCUCCCUGUCCUAGCAGCAAAGUCUCACUAAGACUGCCUGCAAUCUGAGUCAUGUGUGUGCCACCCUGGAACCCAUGAAAAACAUUCUGCUGCCCCCAUCCCCACUAGCACUUCCUCUUCCAUUUCUGCUGCCCAGAAUGGAGGCUAGUCUGGAAAGGAAG